This is a long non-coding RNA of Culex pipiens pallens (northern house mosquito), 3301 nucleotides long. RefSeq lists it as uncharacterized. The transcript is spliced from 2 exons. The record is from RefSeq and is a predicted model, not a curated record. NCBI's taxonomy places the organism in Eukaryota, Metazoa, Arthropoda, Insecta, Diptera, Culicidae.
AAGAAACCAUAUUACGUAAAAGUAAUUAUCACUUUUUGAACGGUUAUGAGUGCAGCCCACUGACACACACACACACAAACGCCCCCCCAAGUCUUCUUCUUUUCUCACACCAGCAGCGCAGCGCCGACUGCGACGGUUGGUGGUGAUGAUUUGACAGUUUUGAUUGGUGGUGCCUGCCAAACCAAUGCAAAGAAUACGAGGAAGAAGGGGCACAGGGGGAGGGACGCAUAUGUCAACUGCAUAAUAAAAUAACGAAUUGCAUUAGCAACAUGCAUUGACACAUGCAACGGUGCGCUGCAAGCCAUACAAGAUGAGAUGCCGGGGCUCUGACUGACCGACCGAAGAAGGUGUGUUUGUGUGAGUGUGUGCGGUUAUGGACAUGUCCGGCCGGAUUAGUGCACUGGAUGGAUUAACGAUGUUAGUGUGGUUAAGUCGAGGUGCGAGCCAGUGAGAUAGGGAGCAUCACUUCGGAUUGAGGUUAUCUUCAACUUUGUGGAGGCCUUCCAUAUGACCAAAGAAGCUUCUUCUGGAUCACCUAUACAAGUCUCCAUACAAUUUUGGUAGCUGUCUAUACAAAAAUGGUACGUAAAUAUUCAAAAAUCUGUAACUUUUUAGUCAAUUUACUGAUCAAUUUGGUGUCUUCGGCAAAGUUGUAGGUAUUGUUGAGGACUUUAGAGAAAAAAUAGGUACAUGGGCAAAUGCCGUUUUUUCAAAUGUAAUUUUUUUCACAAAUUACAUAUUUUUAUGAUUUUUGAGAUUUUUUGAUGUGUUUUAGGGAACAAAAACCAGCAACUUUUGAGCCAUAGAGAAGUAUGGAUAAAAAAUCUGCCGCCAAGUUAUAAUUUUUUGAAAAAACAAUGAUCUUUGAAAAAAAAAUCGAAAUUUCAUGCAAAAAAAAAUUGUCCUAUUUUUUAUGUAAAAUUGAAUUUGCAAGCAAAAAGUACUCUGCACAUUUUUUUUAUAAAGAGCUCCCUUUUCAAUAUAAAGUCAGUGACCCUGACCUUUAAGACAUAUGCUUGCAACGUCGUGUAAUUAGUAGGCCUUGCUUCUGAAUUCUGAGAAAUUUUGAAAAUUGGCACUUUUUUUCUCACUAAAACUCAAAUAUCUUGGCACUGGAGCGUCGAAAUUGAAUUUUCUCAGAAGGGAAAAUGUUCGCCAUGAAAUUUCCUACAAGCUGCAUGCAUUGGUUGUGCUGGGAAAAAUGGGCUACCCUAAAUUAAAUGAGCAUUUCUGAAAAAAAAUCGAAAAAAUGCGAUUUUUCGACAUAAAUCCGCCUGGGAGAGUUCAAAAACUUAAAUCUUAAUCUAUGGACAAAAAACUAUCGUUUGAAGAUAAUACACACCUGAUCGAGUCAGUUUUUGUAUUAAUUUCAAGCGAUUUUAGAAAAUUUGUUCAAAAAAGUGAUUUUUUCAGUAAGUCGAAUAGGGGGUGCGAGAAAGUAUUUUUUUAUUUUUUCUUGUCUAAGAAAACUUUGUUCCUAACAUCAUAAUCUAUCAUUUAAGAAAAGAACACCUAAAAUUCCUCGACAUGACCUCAAAAUGGGACAGGCUAAUAGUCACCGAAAGUUUGAUUUUAGCAAAAUAUUUCUAUACCAUUCUAAAAAAAUAUUUUUGGAAAAGUUCAGAAAAUUUGAUAUUAAAUUGUCUAAGAAAUAUUAAAGAAAAAGGAAAAUUUUGAUUCAAGACUAACAUUUUAAAAGGGCCAAACAUUUAAUAUUACGCUCUUUUGAAAUGUUGGUCUUGAUUUAAAAAAAAAAUCAAAAAAUAAUAAUUAAAAUUGGAAAUUCCUUUGUUCUUUGAUAUGUUUUUCGUUUCAAACCAACCAAAUUUUUUGGUCCAGUCUGAAUAAGAAUUAAAAAAAAAUCUGCAUUAAAUUUUAAGUUAUUUUAAAAUUCGCUAUUUUGCAUGCACAUAUUUUUCAAAUGAUCGUUUGACCCAUUUGAGUAAAAUUGGGACAAUAGUCUGCAUAUUCUAUAGCAUUCAAUUUGACAUCUCUGUACUUAUUUUGUUGUUAUAUUCCUGUCUCAACCGAAAUCAAUCAAAAAUAUCAAAAAGUUGCUACAGCAGCUAGCUAGCUAGCUGAAUUUCCUGAUUCGCCUCAGAUGCCAGUACCUUAAAAAAAUAAGGAAUUUUGUUUUGAAUUAAAAAAUUUAAAAAAUGAAAUACUCAAUCUACAAAAUAUAUAAAAUUACAGUAAGUAAGUUUUUCUUGAUAGCCCAAUGAAUGCUGAUAAAAUAUAUUAUACUCAAUAAAAAUUAAAAAAUAAAUUAAUUUAAAUAAUUUUAAUUUAUUGAAAAAUCAAUCUUCCUGAAAGAAAAUUGAAAGUAACUCCUUUAUUUUGGUGGUCACAAAAACUCACUCUUAAUAAGAAUGGUCACCAAAAAUAAAACUAUGUCUAUGAUCCGUUAAUCACCCAUCGAUUGAGUUCAAAGUCACCGUCUCAAUAACGUCUCCUCCGUUUCCAUCACCUCUCAGACAAGGCCAACGUUGUUCGCUUGUUUGCGGUCAAAAUUAGCUAAUAUUCGCCAAAAAAUCCGCGUCUUUCGCCACCUUAACAUGCUAAACCUGUUGACUUGUGGCGCCGCCACUCGGUGGUCAUUCACCGGUGUUCCGAGGCCAUCCGGACGCUAACUGCCCUGAACUCUUGAGCGGUAUUACAAGGCACGAGGACUGGCAAGUGCAGUCACACACAUCUGAAUCGACAUCAUUAUCCUUUACGACCAAGCUGGGGAGAAAAACUUGGCCACUUGAAGUUUUCUUUUAAAGUUGACUUGUUACAGGUUCGACGGUGAAGAGGUUACUGCGGGGCAAGAUCCGGUGAACAUCCACAAUUGCCAAGUGAAUGACCACAAGCGAGCAUAAUCGCCACUCGGCAGAGAAAAAGGGGGAGGUAAAGCGUAAAAAUCCCAAGCAAAACUAGACCAAUGCGGGCAGCACAACAAAAAAAAACUCCACUUUUUCUUCGUUGACCAGCUCUGAAAGGGAAAUGAGCGUAAACACGUUUAAGAGCAGAGUAGCAAAAAAAAAUGUCCUCACCCUACCCCACCUCCGUCCAAGCCCUUCCACAGUCACAGUCUCGUGGAUUCUUCAUCCGGUGGUGCGCUUAUGAUUUGCGCUAUUUUUAUAUUUCCGGCUUGGCCAAGACCGCGCAUCAUGGCCAAGGGUCGUAAAAAAUGCCGGCACGAGGGGGAUGAUGGCAACGCAAGACGAACAUGUGACAAGUGGCUCGCGUGCCGGUGUGAGGGGGGUCGUAGGGGUUGUUAUUGCCGGCCACCGGAACCGGUUGUGAGGUUUUAGUAGAA